CCCUUAGAUGUCCUGGGCCGCACGCGCGCUACACUGAACGGAUCAGCGCGUUUUCCCUUCCCGAGAGGGACGGGUAACCUGCUGAACCCCGUUCGUGGUAGGGAUCGGGGCUUGCAAUUAUUCCCCGUGAACCAGGAAUGCCCAGUAAGUGCAAGUCAUAAGCUUGCGUUGAUUACGUCCCUACCCUUUGUACACACCGCCCGUCGCUACUACCGAUUGAACGUUUUAGUGAGGUACUCGGACUGAGCCUCAGAAGAUUCACGUCUUUUGUGCUGCUCGGGAAGAUUCCCAAACUUGAGCGUUUAGAGGAAGUAAAAGUCGUAACA
Molecule: ribosomal RNA, 326 nt
Filed under: uncultured eukaryote
Lineage: Eukaryota
Description: partial 18S ribosomal RNA
Rfam family: Eukaryotic small subunit ribosomal RNA
Source: RNAcentral